UUAAAUUGAAGAGUUUGAUCAUGGCUCAGAUUGAACGCUGGCGGCAGGCCUAACACAUGCAAGUCGAACGGUAACAGGAAACAGCUUGCUGUUUCGCUGACGAGUGGCGGACGGGUGAGUAAUGUCUGGGAAACUGCCUGAUGGAGGGGGAUAACUACUGGAAACGGUAGCUAAUACCGCAUAACGUCGCAAGACCAAAGAGGGGGACCUUCGGGCCUCUUGCCAUCGGAUGUGCCCAGAUGGGAUUAGCUAGUAGGUGGGGUAACGGCUCACCUAGGCGACGAUCCCUAGCUGGUCUGAGAGGAUGACCAGCCACACUGGAACUGAGACACGGUCCAGACUCCUACGGGAGGCAGCAGUGGGGAAUAUUGCACAAUGGGCGCAAGCCUGAUGCAGCCAUGCCGCGUGUAUGAAGAAGGCCUUCGGGUUGUAAAGUACUUUCAGCGGGGAGGAAGGGAGUAAAGUUAAUACCUUUGCUCAUUGACGUUACCCGCAGAAGAAGCACCGGCUAACUCCGUGCCAGCAGCCGCGGUAAUACGGAGGGUGCAAGCGUUAAUCGGAAUUACUGGGCGUAAAGCGCACGCAGGCGGUUUGUUAAGUCAGAUGUGAAAUCCCCGGGCUCAACCUGGGAACUGCAUCUGAUACUGGCAAGCUUGAGUCUCGUAGAGGGGGGUAGAAUUCCAGGUGUAGCGGUGAAAUGCGUAGAGAUCUGGAGGAAUACCGGUGGCGAAGGCGGCCCCCUGGACGAAGACUGACGCUCAGGUGCGAAAGCGUGGGGAGCAAACAGGAUUAGAUACCCUGGUAGUCCACGCCGUAAACGAUGUCGACUUGGAGGUUGUGCCCUUGAGGCGUGACUUCCGGAGCUAACGCGUUAAGUCGACCGCCUGGGGAGUACGGCCGCAAGGUUAAAACUCAAAUGAAUUGACGGGGGCCCGCACAAGCGGUGGAGCAUGUGGUUUAAUUCGAUGCAACGCGAAGAACCUUACCUGGUCUUGACAUCCACGGAAGUUUUCAGAGAUGAGAAUGUGCCUUCGGGAACCGUGAGACAGGUGCUGCAUGGCUGUCGUCAGCUCGUGUUGUGAAAUGUUGGGUUAAGUCCCGCAACGAGCGCAACCCUUAUCCUUUGUUGCCAGCGGUCCGGCCGGGAACUCAAAGGAGACUGCCAGUGAUAAACUGGAGGAAGGUGGGGAUGACGUCAAGUCAUCAUGGCCCUUACGACCAGGGCUACACACGUGCUACAAUGGCGCAUACAAAGAGAAGCGACCUCGCGAGAGCAAGCGGACCUCAUAAAGUGCGUCGUAGUCCGGAUUGGAGUCUGCAACUCGACUCCAUGAAGUCGGAAUCGCUAGUAAUCGUGGAUCAGAAUGCCACGGUGAAUACGUUCCCGGGCCUUGUACACACCGCCCGUCACACCAUGGGAGUGGGUUGCAAAAGAAGUAGGUAGCUUAACCUUCGGGAGGGCGCUUACCACUUUGUGAUUCAUGACUGGGGUGAAGUCGUAACAAGGUAACCGUAGGGGAACCUGCGGUUGGAUCACCUCCUUACCUUAAAGAAGC
RNAcentral lists this ribosomal RNA (1556 nucleotides) under Escherichia coli. Its description in RNAcentral is "bacterial SSU rRNA". It matches the Rfam family "Bacterial small subunit ribosomal RNA". Lineage: Bacteria; Pseudomonadati; Pseudomonadota; Gammaproteobacteria; Enterobacterales; Enterobacteriaceae. The record is from RNAcentral.